UGGGGAAUCUUCCGCAAUGGGCGAAAGCCUGACGGAGCAACGCCGCGUGAGUGAAGACGGCCUUCGGGUUGUAAAACUCUGUGAUUCGGGACGAAAGAUAAGCAGACGAAUAAUCUGCAUAAGUGACGGUACCGAAAAAGCAAGCCACGGCUAACUACGUGCCAGCAGCCGCGGUAAUACGUAGGUGGCAAGCGUUGUCCGGAAUUAUUGGGCGUAAAGCGCGCGCAGGCGGCUACUUAAGUCCAUCUUAAAAGUGCGGGGCUUAACCCCGUGAUGGGAUGGAAACUGAGAAGCUGGAGUGUCGGAGAGGAAAGUGGAAUUCCUAGUGUAGCGGUGAAAUGCGUAGAUAUAUGGAGGAACACCAGUGGCGAAGGCGACUCUCUGGUCUGUAACUGACGCUGAGGCUCGAAAGCGUGGGUAGCAAACAGG
Molecule: ribosomal RNA, 429 nt
Filed under: Bacteroidota bacterium
Lineage: Bacteria; Pseudomonadati; Bacteroidota
Description: Bacteroidetes bacterium partial 16S ribosomal RNA
Rfam family: Bacterial small subunit ribosomal RNA
Source: RNAcentral